GGAUAGUGUAACGGUAGCACGAAAGGUUCAUAACCUUUAAGUUCAGUUCAAAUCUGAUAACUGUGUCCA
This 69-nucleotide transfer RNA is filed under the name Caudoviricetes sp. RNAcentral's name for it is "tRNA-Met". The stretch from base 3 to 58 matches the Rfam family "tRNA", at positions 7 to 64 of the family's 71-position model. Rfam says of the family: Transfer RNA (tRNA) molecules are approximately 80 nucleotides in length. Their secondary structure includes four short double-helical elements and three loops (D, anti-codon, and T loops). Further hydrogen bonds mediate the characteristic L-shaped molecular structure. tRNAs have two regions of fundamental functional importance: the anti-codon, which is responsible for specific mRNA codon recognition, and the 3' end, to which the tRNAs corresponding amino acid is attached (by aminoacyl-tRNA synthetases). tRNAs cope with the degeneracy of the genetic code in two manners: having more than one tRNA (with a specific anti-codon) for a particular amino acid; and 'wobble' base-pairing, i.e. permitting non-standard base-pairing at the 3rd anti-codon position. The record is from RNAcentral. Lineage: Duplodnaviria; Heunggongvirae; Uroviricota; Caudoviricetes.